RNAcentral lists this ribosomal RNA (2891 nucleotides) under archaeon CG07_land_8_20_14_0_80_38_8. RNAcentral describes it as "bacterial LSU rRNA". It matches the Rfam family "Archaeal large subunit ribosomal RNA". The record is from RNAcentral.
GUUAGGUGGAUGACUUGGCUUAUUAAGCUGAUGAAGGGCGUACCAAGUUGCGAAAAGCCAUGGGGAAGCGCACGGAGCUUUUGAUCCAUGGGUGCCCGAAUAAGAGUCUUAACCUUUAACGGUUAUUAUACUCUAAGAGUAUAAGAGGAACGCGGGGAAUCAAAUCAUUCAAGUACCCGCAGGAAAAGAAACCAAUAGGGAUGUCCUUAGUAAAGUCGAUCGAAAAGGACAGAGAACAAAGCGAAUCAGCAUAGGUGACUAUUGCUGAAAUGUGCUGUUUUGGACCGGGAAUAUCGAACUGUUCAAAUGACCCAAACUCCACUGGAACGUGGGACCAUAGAAGGUGAAAGUCCGGUAGGGGAAGUUUGAACAGUAGUACUCGGAAUCCAGAGUACCAAGGGUCGGAAAUCCUUUGGGAAGACGGGAGUCAGAAACUUCCAAUUCUAAAUACUCAAUAAGACCGAUAGCGAACAAGUACCAUGAGGGAAAGUUGAAAAGAACUUUUGACAGAGAGUUAAAAGAGCCUGAAACCUGACAGUUACGGUAGGUUGCGGCACUACGGGUGUUGCAACGUUCCUUUCGGAUAAAGAGGCAAAGAGUUUAUGGUAGUAGCAAGGUUAAACACGUUAGUGGGAAGCCGGAGGGAAACCAACGCAGCCCGCAGCAUGCGAGGGGCGAGGUGUGAAUAGCGCCUGAAGUUACUGCUGUAAGACCCGAAGCCAAGCGAGCUAUCCCUAGACAGACUGAAGCGGACAAUCCAGUUCGUGGAGGGUCGGAGAGGUAAUGCGAGCAUGCUUUCUCGAGAGCUGGGGAUAGGAGUGAAAUGCUAAUCGUGCUUGGCCAUAGCUGGUUCCUCCCAAAUUUGGCCGCAGUCAAGCCUCUUCGGAGAUAGUUAUGAGGGUAAAGAUACUGAUUGGGGACGCAGGGCAACUACUGUUGUUCGCUCCCGAGUCAAACUCAGAAUACCAUAACGUCGUAGAUGAAGGGAGUCGGGGUAUAGGGGUAAACCUUAUAUCCGCGAGGGGAACAACCCAGACUAAAGUUAAGGUCCCAGAGUACUUACUAAGUGCAAGCGAGGUUGUUUGCAACCACAGACAGAAGGAAGGUGGGCUUAGGAGCAGCCAUCCUAUAAUAAGUGUGUAACAACUUACCUUUCGAGGUUACAUGCGCCGAAAAUGGACGGGGCUAAGUAAGUCACCGAUACUUUAGGAAACACAUAGUUUUUGUGUCUGGUUAGGGAGGCGAUCUGAAUGGGUGGAAGCGUGAGUGUGAACUUGCGUGGACCGUUUUGGAUUCGAGGAUUUUGCCGCUAGUAUUCAUCGUAGUGUGAUGAGAAUUCACAUGGCCGUAAGGGCAAGGGUUUCUUCGCACUGUUCGUCAGCGAAGAGUUAGUCGAUCCUAACCCGCAACUUAACUGUAUGCGGGGAAAGGGAAACGCGUUAAUAAUCGUGUACUAAUCUGAUACGCACGGCAACGUAAGACUGUUAAGAGACAUUUCGGGGUAGGUUGAGCAACACUGUCGUGUUGUCUAAUAAGCACAAAUCCAUGGAGUCUUGCAAUGAGGAGAAGUGGAUUAAAGCUUAGAAUAGCCAGUGUACUCUGGUUCAAUUUAUCCCUGGAAUCCAUGAAAAUUUUAACAGUAAGGAUUCAGAUUAAUCGUACCCAGAACCAGCACAGGUGCCCCUAGAAGAGAAAUCUAAGGCCUGUAGGGAAUAAGCAAGCUCAGGGAACUCGGCAAAUUAGCCCCGUAACUUCGGGAGAAGGGGUCUCAGCGUUCGUAACUGCAUAGUUGCGAGUGCUGGGCGCAGUGACUAGAGGAAUUGGACUGUUUAAUUAAAACAUAGCUGAUUGCAAAUCGGAAACGACUAGUAUAAUCGGCGACGCCUGUCCAGUGCCAGUAUCUGAAAAUCCGGUUCAACGGAUCCAAAGACUGGUUAACGACGGAGGUAACUAUGACCUUCUUAUGGUAGCGCAAUGCCUUGCCAUUUAAAUGAUGGCUUUGCCAAUGGCGUAACGAGAUUCCUACUGUCCCGAGCUUGAAACCUGAGAACUCACUUUACCGGUGCAGAAGCCGGUGACUUCCAGUGGGAUGUGAAGACCCUAGGAGCUUUACUGCAGUCUGUAGCUGUGUUAUGGGUUGUGGAUUAUAGCGUAGUCAGGAGACUUCGAAGCGCGGCCCCCAGGUUGCGUGGAGUCAACAAUGUAACACUGACAUUCAUAACUCAUAAUGCUUACUUGAAAUUAAGUUUUUGAGGACACCUAUUGAUGGGCAGUUCGGCUGGGGUGGCACUCCUACGACAAGGUAUCAUAGGAGCCCAAAGGUCAGCUCAUCCGGGUUAGAACUCCGGAGUAGAGUGCAAAAGCAAAAGCUGGCCUGACAGGAAUCCGCAAAGCAAAGAUUCCUGCCACGAAAGUGCGGUUUAGCGAUCAUCCAUGCCUCUCUUUCUGAGAGCUGGAUCUGACAGAAAAGUUACCCUAGGGAUAACAGAGUUGUUCCGUCCGAUAGUACACAUUGACGACGGAGCUUGCUUCAUCGAUGUCGACUCUUCCUAUCCUGGCCGUGCACAAGCGGCCAAGGGUGCGGGUGUUCACCGAUUAAAAGGGAUCGUGAGUUGGGUUAAGAACGAGGUGACUCAGUUCGGAUAAUAUCUACUGGAAGUGUUCUGUGUCUGAGUGGAAGGAUGAUUGAGUACGAAAGGAACGAUCAUUCGAGGCCUCUGGUGUACCAGUUAUCUGACAAGGUACUGCUGGGCAGCUACGCCUUAAGGGAUAAGAUCUGAAAGCAUCUAAGAUCGAAGCCCCCCGCGAAACGAGACACAGUUUAAGGCUCCUCGUAAAUGACGAGGUCGAUAGAAACGGGGUGUAAGUACCAAGGCAACGAGGUAUUCAGC